RNAcentral lists this ribosomal RNA (378 nucleotides) under uncultured Desulfobulbus sp. RNAcentral describes it as "bacterial SSU rRNA". It matches the Rfam family "Bacterial small subunit ribosomal RNA", at positions 1007 to 1382 of the family's 1533-position model. Lineage: Bacteria; Pseudomonadati; Thermodesulfobacteriota; Desulfobulbia; Desulfobulbales; Desulfobulbaceae. The record is from RNAcentral.
GGGGUGGCUUCCAUCUGGAAGAAUCUGGAGACAGGUGCUGCAUGGCUGUCGUCAGCUCGUGUCGUGAGAUGUUGGGUUAAGUCCCGCAACGAGCGCAACCCUUGCCUUUAGUUGCCAGCAGUUCGGCUGGGCACUCUAAAGGGACUGCCGGUGUUAAACCGGAGGAAGGUGGGGAUGACGUCAAGUCCUCAUGGCCUUUAUGACCAGGGCUACACACGUACUACAAUGGCCGAUACAAAGGGCAGCGACACUGCGAGGUGAAGCCAAUCCCGUAAAAUCGGUCUCAGUCCGGAUUGGAGUCUGCAACUCGACUCCAUGAAGUUGGAAUCGCUAGUAAUCGUGGAUCAGCAUGCCACGGUGAAUACGUUCCCGGGCCUU